GACGAACGCUGGCGGCGUGCUUAACACAUGCAAGUCGAACGGAAAGGCCCUGCUUUUGUGGGGUGCUCGAGUGGCGAACGGGUGAGUAACACGUGAGUAACCUGCCCUUGACUUUGGGAUAACUUCAGGAAACUGGGGCUAAUACCGGAUAGGAGCUCCUGCUGCAUGGUGGGGGUUGGAAAGUUUCGGCGGUUGGGGAUGGACUCGCGGCUUAUCAGCUUGUUGGUGGGGUAGUGGCUUACCAAGGCUUUGACGGGUAGCCGGCCUGAGAGGGUGACCGGCCAACUUGGGAACGGGAUACGGCCCCGACUCCUACGGGGGGGAAGAGUGGGGAAUAUUGCACAAUGGGCGGAAGCCUGAUGCAGCAACGCCGCGUGCGGGAUGACGGCCUUCGGGUUGUAAACCGCUUUCGCCUGUGACGAAGCGUGAGUGACGGUAAUGGGUAAAGAAGCACCGGCUAACUACGUG
Molecule: ribosomal RNA, 468 nt
Filed under: uncultured bacterium
Lineage: Bacteria
Description: partial 16S ribosomal RNA
Rfam family: Bacterial small subunit ribosomal RNA
Source: RNAcentral